This is a non-coding RNA of Pelobates cultripes (western spadefoot toad), 486 nucleotides long. Lineage: Eukaryota; Metazoa; Chordata; Amphibia; Anura; Pelobatidae. The record is from the annotation of a GenBank genome assembly.
GAUCCAGUCAAACAAGAUGGCAAAGGUUUCCCAUACCAUGUGUAUAUUGGAGAAUCACUGUCACUCUGAAUUAAAUGUUGUGAACCUUAAACUGACAUUUUCCUGUUUUAUGAGCCUAUCUCCAUAAUUCCAUUUUAUAUCCCUUGAUACUGAUCUUAAAAUUUCCAAUUUAUUUUUCAGCUGGGCCAUGAAUUUCCAGCAGAUGCUCCAUACCUUCCUCACCAGAAGCCCCUGCCUACGGUGGAGAAAACUGUCCUACCGAAGAAACUCUACAUUAUUCAACAGCCACGCAGAUUUUAGAUGUGACCUUUAAUAUGCUGUAAUUUUGUAUGGGCUCUUUUCUGUUUUCUAAAAGGACCAAUCUUUGUAUAUAAAACUUUUGUCAAUCAAUGAUAAAGCACUUAAAUGCAUUUUUUUCGGGGGCGUGAAUUUCUUUUGAUUCUAAUGUAUUGAUGUCAUUGGAAAUAAAAAAAAUCCCACUGCUUA